GACGUUACCCGCAGAAGAAGCACCGGCUAACUCCGUGCCAGCAGCCGCGGUAAUACGGAGGGUGCAAGCGUUAAUCGGAAUUACUGGGCGUAAAGCGCACGCAGGCGGUUUGUUAAGUCAGAUGUGAAAUCCCCGGGCUCAACCUGGGAACUGCAUCUGAUACUGGCAAGCUUGAGUCUCGUAGAGGGGGGUAGAAUUCCAGGUGUAGCGGUGAAAUGCGUAGAGAUCUGGAGGAAUACCGGUGGCGAAGGCGGCCCCCUGGACGAAGACUGACGCUGAGGAGCGAAAGCGUGGGGAGCGAACAGGAUUAGAUACCCUGGUAGUCCACGCCGUAAACGAUGUCGACUUGGAGGUUGUGCCCUUGAGGCGUGGCUUCCGGAGCUAACGCGUUAAGUCGACCGCCUGGGGAGUACGGCCGCAAGGUUAAAACUCAAAUGAAUUGACGGGGGCCCGCACAAGCGGUGGAGCAUGUGGUUUAAUUCGAUGCAACGCGAAGAACCUUACCUGGUCUUGACAUCCACGGAAGUUUUCAGAGAUGAGAAUGUGCCUUCGGGAACCGUGAGACAGGUGCUGCAUGGCUGUCGUCAGCUCGUGUUGUGAAAUGUUGGGUUAAGUCCCGCAACGAGCGCAACCCUUAUCCUUUGUUGCCAGCGGUCCGGCCGGGAACUCAAAGGAGACUGCCAGUGAUAAACUGGAGGAAGGUGGGGAUGACGUCAAGUCAUCAUGGCCCUUACGACCAGGGCUACACACGUGCUACAAUGGCGCAUACAAAGAGAAGCGACCUCGCGAGAGCAAGCGGACCUCAUAAAGUGCGUCGUAGUCCGGAUUGGAGUCUGCAACUCGACUCCAUGAAGUCGGAAUCGCUAGUAAUCGUGGAUCAGAAUGCCACGGUGAAUACGUUCCCGGGCCUUGUACACACCGCCCGUCACACCAUGGGAGUGGGUUGCAAAAGAAGUAGGUAGCUUAACCUUCGGGAGGGCGCUUACCACUUUGUGAUUCAUGACUGGGGUGAAGUCGUAACAAGGUAACCGUAGGGGAACCUGCGGUUGGAUCACCUCCUUA
This 1062-nucleotide ribosomal RNA is filed under the name Thauera sp. 2A1. RNAcentral's name for it is "bacterial SSU rRNA". It matches the Rfam family "Bacterial small subunit ribosomal RNA", at positions 471 to 1533 of the family's 1533-position model. Lineage: Bacteria; Pseudomonadati; Pseudomonadota; Betaproteobacteria; Rhodocyclales; Zoogloeaceae. The record is from RNAcentral.